Molecule: long non-coding RNA, 162 nt
Organism: Mugil cephalus (flathead mullet)
Lineage: Eukaryota; Metazoa; Chordata; Actinopteri; Mugiliformes; Mugilidae
Exons: 3
Source: RefSeq, a predicted model, not a curated record
GUAGUGGCGAGCGAAGAGGGAAGAGCCCAGCGCCGAAUCCCCGUCCGACUGGCGGGCGCGGGAAAUGUGGCGUACGGAAGACCGCUAGCCCGGUGUCGGCCGGGGGCCUGAGUCCUUCUGAUCGAGGCUCAGCCCGUGGACGGGCUGAGGAAGAUCUGAAGA